This 912-nucleotide ribosomal RNA is filed under the name Triticum aestivum (bread wheat). Its description in RNAcentral is "partial small subunit ribosomal RNA". The record is from RNAcentral. Lineage: Eukaryota; Viridiplantae; Streptophyta; Magnoliopsida; Poales; Poaceae.
UCCCUAACAAAAUUCUUAUCAUCACAUCGGUACAUUCCGAAGGAGGAGCAGGACUUCUUGAGGGUUCUGCACGGAUGCAACAUUGAGACUGCGAGGCAGAUGCAGCUGAUGUCAUGGUUCUACGGAAGCGCUAAAGACGUACCCUACACGACACAAGACAUUGCUAAUCAACGAGCUAAGUUCCGCUUAGAGCACCGCCACAAGGACAUUGGGAGCACAAUUGCAUACUUCCAAGAGAGGGCCAAAGAUUCAUAUUUCUACUGGAGAAUCAAACUUGAUGAUGAGGACAUGGUUGAGAACUUGUUCUGGAUAGAUGGCGCAUCACGCAGGGCAUAUGCAAAGUGUAAUGACUGUUUGUCGUUUGACACGACAUACAUGACAAACAUGUACAAGAUGCUGUGUGAACCAUUCAUUGGAAUUAAUAACCAUGGUCAAUCCAUCCAGUUUGGGUGUGGCUUCGUUCGAAAUGAACUAAAGGAAAACUUUGCGUGGCUGUUUAACACAUUCCUCCAUGCAAUGGGUGGUGUUGCCCCUAAAAACAUCACCACAGACCAGGACUUUGCAAUGAGGAGUGCGAUCGACGAGGUCUUCUUGAACAUAAUACACAGAAAUUACCGCUGGCAUAUAAUGAAGAAGGCGCAUGAGAAACUUGGAAAACUUAUGGCUGAUGAUAAACCACUAAACAAAGCGUUCAAAGACUGUGUCGACAAUAGCUUGACUGAGGAAGAGUUGGAAAACAAAUGGUGGGCAAUGAUGGAUGAAUAUGGCCAGAUCGACAAUGAACAUUUUCAAUGGCUGUGGGAAAAUAGGAAAUGUUGGGCCCCAGUGUACUACAUGAAGCAUUUCUUUCCAUUCUUGCAGACAACUGCAAGGAGCGAGGGAUUCAAUGUUGUGCUCAAGAAGAGAAAGUAA